GUGCUCAUGUUGGUAGCACAUAUACUAAAAUUGGAAUGAUGCAGAGAAGAGUAGCGUGGCCCCUGCGCAAGGAUGACAUGCACAUUUGUGAAGUGUACUGUUUU
Varanus komodoensis (Komodo dragon) is the source of this 104-nucleotide small nuclear RNA. Lineage: Eukaryota; Metazoa; Chordata; Lepidosauria; Squamata; Varanidae. The record is from Ensembl.